This 332-nucleotide unclassified non-coding RNA is filed under the name soil metagenome. RNAcentral describes it as "partial contains 5.8S ribosomal RNA, internal transcribed spacer 2, and large subunit ribosomal RNA". The stretch from base 1 to 120 matches the Rfam family "5.8S ribosomal RNA", at positions 35 to 154 of the family's 154-position model. The record is from RNAcentral.
GAUGAAGAACGUAGCGAAAUGCGAUAAGUAGUGUGAAUUGCAGAAUUCAGUGAAUCAUCGAAUCUUUGAACGCACAUUGCGCCCUUUGGUAUUCCUUAGGGCAUGCCUGUUCGAGCGUCAUUUAAACCUUCAAGCUAAGCUUGGUGUUGGGUGACUGUCCGCUUCACGGCGGACUCGCCUCAAAAUUAUUGGCGGCCGGUACAUUGGCUUCGAGCGCAGCAGAAACGCGAAAUCGGGCCCGUCGUAUUGGCUCCCAGAAGCUAUCUUCACAAUUUUGACCUCGGAUCAGGUAGGGAUACCCGCUGAACUUAAGCAUAUCAAUAAGCGGAGGA